GAUGAACGCUGGCGGCGUGCCUAAUACAUGCAAGUCGAGCGAACAGACGAGGAGCUUGCUCCUCUGACGUUAGCGGCGGACGGGUGGGUAACACGUGGAUAACCUACCUAUAAGACUGGGAUAACUUCGGGAAACCGGAGCUAAUACCGGAUAAUAUAUUGAACCGCAUGGUUCAAUAGUGAAAGACGGUUUUGCUGUCACUUAUAGAUGGAUCCGCGCCGCAUUAGCUAGUUGGUAAGGUAACGGCUUACCAAGGCAACGAUGCGUAGCCGACCUGAGAGGGUGAUCGGCCACACUGGAACAGAGACACGGUCCAGACUCCUACGGGAGGCAGCAGUAGGGAAUCUUCCGCAAUGGGCGAAAGCCUGACGGAGCAACGCCGCGUGAGUGAUGAAGGUCUUCGGAUCGUAAAACUCUGUUAUUAGGGAAGAACAAAUGUGUAAGUAACUAUGCACGUCUUGACGGUACCUAAUCAGAAAGCCACGGCUAACUACGUG
Molecule: ribosomal RNA, 497 nt
Filed under: uncultured bacterium
Lineage: Bacteria
Description: partial 16S ribosomal RNA
Rfam family: Bacterial small subunit ribosomal RNA
Source: RNAcentral